This 378-nucleotide ribosomal RNA is filed under the name Acanthodactylus boskianus (Bosk's fringe-fingered lizard). RNAcentral describes it as "partial 16S ribosomal RNA". It matches the Rfam family "Archaeal large subunit ribosomal RNA", at positions 2063 to 2639 of the family's 2987-position model. Lineage: Eukaryota; Metazoa; Chordata; Lepidosauria; Squamata; Lacertidae. The record is from RNAcentral.
ACUAGAAUGAAUGGCUAAAUGAAGACCCAACUGUCUCUUGCAGCCUGCCGAUGAAACUGAUCUCUUAGUUCAAAAGCUAAGAUUUCUCCACAAGACGAGAAGACCCUGUGGAGCUAUCAAACCAAGCACAAAAUUGGCCCCUUGGUUUUCAGUUGGGGCGACUUCGGAGCAUAAAAAACCCUCCGACACAAAACCAAUAAACCCAGAUGGACACAUCAAUACACCAAGACCCAGUAGUUUGUUUUCAAACUACCUGAUCAAUGAACCAAGUUACCCCAGGGAUAACAGCGCCAUCCUCUCCUAGAGUCCCUAUCGACGAGAGGGCUUACGACCUCGAUGUUGGAUCAGGACACCCCAAUAGUGCAACCGCUAUUAAUG